AGUUCUACGACAGACGACGAGCCGGCGGACCACUGUGAUGAAAGUGGUGGGGCUGCCUUUGGUGCACACACUCACUAAAACACGGGCCCAAGUGGCACUUGGGCUCCCCAUCCCCUCUGCGCAAUGAACGACUUAUCUUUCUUCGUGCUACAGCACCAGAGACGGACACUCACGCCGCAGCUACUUCGCGACACGCUGGAUUUUGCUAAACCACACGCUGAGGAGGGUGCUCUCUUCAGUUGGCGUUGGCACUUCUUCCUCGGGACGCUGCCGCUCCCGGCGGAGGAUGACAUGAAGCUUGACGACUGCCGAGCCGCUUGCGAGCAAUGGCGGCGGCAGUGGCAGGAUGCAGGUCGACGACUCGAUCAGUCUAUUCGUGAGUCACCACGCAAAACUGGAAAAACCAUAAAAUUUGGCGAAUCGAGUAGUGACAGCGAGGAUGCGUUGCCCCCACCUUCUGCAGUUGCUCCCUUGUCUGCGUUGAGCACGAGUGGGGAUGGGUGCACAGUGAACCCCCUCGCGCCCGCCUCGGAGAGCUCGUACGCGCUGCAGUUUCAGGCAGACAUGGUGCGGCAGACGGUGGCGAAGGACAUGAGCCGCCUCUCUUGGGAUGCCCCUCCCUUUCACGACGUGCGAGCCAAGGAGACAGUAGCGGAUAUUCUGCUCAAAUACAGCCUGGUGGAGAACAAGGACUACAUGCAGGGAUUUCACGAGAUUGUGGCGUUUCUCUACUACGCUUGUUAUCGCGACAAGGUCCUGGGCGAACGUUUUGUGCAAGAGCACCCGGCGCUGCGCUCGGCCGCCUUCUUCGAAUUGUUCGAGCUGGUCUACGCCGAUCUGCCGGCUGCGGUGUAUGCCCUCUUUCGACGGGUCAUCAGUGAGAAAGACGGCGGCAUGUGCCUCGCCAAGUGGUACUAUAGCAAUGCUCAUGGAGAACAGAGUGGGGUGGUAUUAGCGUGCCAGCGGGUGCAGAAGGACCUGCUCUCGCGCGUCGAUCCUGUGCUGCAGAACUUGCUGGACACCGUGUACGGGAUUGAAAGUGUCGUGUAUCUUGUGCGUUGGCUGCGCCUCCUCUUCUUGCGCGAGUUUCCGUUUGAGCAAACGCUGCGGAUAUGGACUACACUUUUCUGCGAGCGCUACAUUGUUGUUGAGCAGCAGAAGACUACAUUCGCAUUGAACAACAGCAUCGCCUUGUACUUCGCCGCGCAGAUGCUCUGCCAUGUGCACGACGCCCUGUCGGUUGACGCUGCAGGUGCACUGCAGGUGCUGAUGAAGUACCCUCCCACGAAGCACGUCGACGACAUGCUGUACGCAGCCGCCAUCAAUAACAGUGAGUCGCCUCUCUCUCGCCACGCGAAGGCGCCGCGGCUUGUCGACGCGAAAGAUGCACCUGCGCUACCGGCAGAGGUAACGUUGCGCCAGGGGGAAGUCCUGGCGCGGGUUAUAGGGAGCCUCGAGCAGUACUGGUUCCGCGACGCCAGUGCCACAGUGGAGGAGCAAGCGCUGACGACGGAGAUGUACGUCCAAUCCAUCGCCCAGCUGAAAAAGGUGCGCGACGUUUUGCUUUACGGCAUGGGCGACGAAGCCUAGAGCCGUCUCCUCUGCUGCUGCCCUGACAAGGUCGCCAGCAGCUAUAUAAACAAGGACACCUGCACAGGUGUCGGGCCCCAGCUAGCGUUGCUCUCUGCUCACCGACUCACACGCGAAAGCGUUUCUGUCGGACAAAUAAACUUUUUGACUCGUUGAGGCGGGACGGUUUCUCGUUUUUGCGCAGAUGCCGUUAGCGUGCGCCAUUCAAUCG
This 1801-nucleotide unclassified non-coding RNA is filed under the name Leishmania donovani. RNAcentral's name for it is "gene:LdHU3.17.2150(CDS-product:Rab-GTPase-TBC_dom ain_containing_protein_putative)". The record is from RNAcentral. Lineage: Eukaryota; Euglenozoa; Kinetoplastea; Trypanosomatida; Trypanosomatidae.